GAUGAACGCUGGCGGCGUGCUUAACACAUGCAAGUCGAACGGUGAAGCAGAGCUUGCUCUGUGGAUCAGUGGCGAACGGGUGAGUAACACGUGAGCAACCUGCCCCUGACUCUGGGAUAAGCGCUGGAAACGGCGUCUAAUACCGGAUAUGAGCUGCGACCGCAUGGUCAGCAGUUGGAAAGAUUUUUCGGUCUGGGAUGGGCUCACGGCCUAUCAGCUUGUUGGUGAGGUAAUGGCUCACCAAGGCGUCGACGGGUAGCCGGCCUGAGAGGGUGACCGGCCACACUGGGACUGAGACACGGCCCAGACUCCUACGGGAGGCAGCAGUGGGGAAUAUUGCACAAUGGGCGAAAGCCUGAUGCAGCAACGCCGCGUGAGGGAUGACGGCCUUCGGGUUGUAAACCUCUUUUAGCAGGGAAGAAGCGAAAGUGACGGUACCUGCAGAAAAAGCGCCGGCUAACUACGUG
RNAcentral lists this ribosomal RNA (467 nucleotides) under uncultured bacterium. RNAcentral's name for it is "partial 16S ribosomal RNA". It matches the Rfam family "Bacterial small subunit ribosomal RNA", at positions 28 to 507 of the family's 1533-position model. The record is from RNAcentral.